GACGAACGCUGGCGGCGUGCUUAACACAUGCAAGUCGAACGGACAGGCCCUGCUUUUGUGGGGUGCUCGUGUGGCGAACGGGUGAGUAACACGUGAGUAACCUGCCCCUGACUUUGGGAUAACUUCUGGAAACUGGGGCUCAUACCGGAUAGGAGCUCCUGCUGCAUGGUGGGGGUAGGAAAGUUUCGGCGGUUGUGGCUGGACUCGCGGCUUAUCCGCUUGUUUGUGGGGUAGUGGCUUACCAAGGCUUUGACGGGUAGCCGGCCUGGGAGCGUGACCGGGCACAUUGGGACUAAGAUAGGGCCCAGUAGCCUACCGGAGGCAGCAGUGGGGAAUAUGGCACAAUGGGCGGGAGCCAGAUGCAGCAACGCCGCGUGCGGAAUGACGGGCUUCGGGGUGUAAACCGAUUUCGCCUGUGACGUAGAGUGAGUGACGGUAAUGGGUAAAGAAGCAACGGCUAACUACGUG
RNAcentral lists this ribosomal RNA (468 nucleotides) under uncultured bacterium. RNAcentral's name for it is "partial 16S ribosomal RNA". It matches the Rfam family "Bacterial small subunit ribosomal RNA", at positions 28 to 507 of the family's 1533-position model. The record is from RNAcentral.